Molecule: ribosomal RNA, 327 nt
Filed under: uncultured eukaryote
Lineage: Eukaryota
Description: partial 18S ribosomal RNA
Rfam family: Eukaryotic small subunit ribosomal RNA
Source: RNAcentral
CCCUUAGAUGUUCUGGGCCGCACACGCGCUACACUGAAGGAGGCAGCGUGUACUCCUGGAUCGAAAGAUUUGGGUAACCCGCGAAUCUCCUUCGUGCUAGGGAUUGAGGUUUGCAAUUAUCCUUCAUGAACGAGGAAUUCCCAGUAAGUGCAAGUCAUAAGCUUGCGCUGACUACGUCCCUGCCCUUUGUACACACCGCCCGUCGCUACUACCGAUUGAAUGAUUUAGUGAGGGCUUCGGACUGGGACCGAUGCGGCUUUCGGGCUGCGUCGGUAUUCUGGAAAGAUGUCCAAACUGUAUCAUUUAGAGGAAGUAAAAGUCGUAACA